RNAcentral lists this long non-coding RNA (237 nucleotides) under Coffea arabica (coffee). Its description in RNAcentral is "long non-coding RNA (CARA_LNC001086)". The record is from RNAcentral. Lineage: Eukaryota; Viridiplantae; Streptophyta; Magnoliopsida; Gentianales; Rubiaceae.
UUCUUCUAUCUAUCACCACUACCCACUACCACCACUACCCACUACCAUCACCACUAUCGGGCCUGUUUGGAACAUGAGUUUUUUAAAAGUUUGUAUAAAACUUUACUGUAGUGCACUGUAUAAGUUUUUGAAAAAAUUUUAUAGAAGUUUUUUUAAGGUAAAAAACUUUUUGAUAGAAGUUUUUGUAAUAAAAAAUUUUGUAAAAGUUUUUUGUAAGGUGAAAACCUUUUUUUUUUU